GUAUAAGAGACAGCAGUCGCCGCGGUAAUACGGAGGGUGCAAGCGUUAAUCGGAAUUACUGGGCGUAAAGCGCACGCAGGCGGUCUGACAAGUCAGAUGUGAAAUCCCCGGGCUUAACCUGGGAACUGCAUUUGAAACUGUCAGGCUGGAGUCUUGUAGAGGGGGGUGGAAUUCCAGGUGUAGCGGUGAAAUGCGUAGAGAUCUGGAGGAAUACCGGUGGCGAAGGCGGCCCCCUGGACAAAGACUGACGCUCAGGUGCGAAAGCGUGGGGAGCAAACAGGAUUAGAUACCCCGGUAGUCCCUGUCUCUUAUAC
RNAcentral lists this ribosomal RNA (314 nucleotides) under uncultured bacterium. RNAcentral's name for it is "partial 16S ribosomal RNA". It matches the Rfam family "Bacterial small subunit ribosomal RNA", at positions 495 to 807 of the family's 1533-position model. The record is from RNAcentral.